This 497-nucleotide ribosomal RNA is filed under the name uncultured bacterium. RNAcentral's name for it is "partial 16S ribosomal RNA". It matches the Rfam family "Bacterial small subunit ribosomal RNA", at positions 28 to 507 of the family's 1533-position model. The record is from RNAcentral.
GAUGAACGCUGGCGGCGUGCCUAAUACAUGCAAGUCGAGCGAACGGACGAGAAGCUUGUUUCUUGGUUGUUAGCGGCAGGGGGGGGUGUAACACGUGGAUACCCUCCUUAUCAGACUGGGAUAACUUCGGGAAACGGUAGAUAAUCCCGGAUAAUAUUUUGAACCGCAUGGUUCAAAGGUGAAAGACGGCCUUGCGGUAACUUAUCGAUGCUUCCGCGCUGCUUUAGCUAGUUGGUAAGGUACUGGCUUACCAAGGCAACGAUGCAUAACCGACCUGAGAGGGGGAUCGGCCACACGGGAACUUAGACACGGUCCAGAGUCCUACGGGAGGCAGCAGUAGGGAAUCGUCCGCAAUGGGCGAGAGCCUGACGGAGCAACGGCGCGUGAGUUAUGGAGGUCUUCGGAUCGUAAAACUCUGUUACUAGGUAAGAACAUAUGUGUAAGUAACUGUGCACAUCUUGACGGUAACUAAUCAGAAAGCCACGGCUAACUACGUG